This 900-nucleotide ribosomal RNA is filed under the name Aspergillus flavus. Its description in RNAcentral is "LSU rRNA". It matches the Rfam family "Eukaryotic large subunit ribosomal RNA", at positions 38 to 954 of the family's 3401-position model. The record is from RNAcentral. Lineage: Eukaryota; Fungi; Ascomycota; Eurotiomycetes; Eurotiales; Aspergillaceae.
GCAUAUCAAUAAGCGGAGGAAAAGAAACCAACCGGGAUUGCCUCAGUAACGGCGAGUGAAGCGGCAAGAGCUCAAAUUUGAAAGCUGGCUCCUUCGGGGUCCGCAUUGUAAUUUGCAGAGGAUGCUUCGGGUGCGGCCCCUGUCUAAGUGCCCUGGAACGGGCCGUCAGAGAGGGUGAGAAUCCCGUCUGGGAUGGGGUGUCCGCGCCCGUGUGAAGCUCCUUCGACGAGUCGAGUUGUUUGGGAAUGCAGCUCUAAAUGGGUGGUAAAUUUCAUCUAAAGCUAAAUACUGGCCGGAGACCGAUAGCGCACAAGUAGAGUGAUCGAAAGAUGAAAAGCACUUUGAAAAGAGAGUUAAAAAGCACGUGAAAUUGUUGAAAGGGAAGCGCUUGCGACCAGACUCGCCUCCAGGGUUCAGCCGGCAUUCGUGCCGGUGUACUUCCCUGGGGGCGGGCCAGCGUCGGUUUGGGCGGCCGGUCAAAGGCUCCCGGAAUGUAGUGCCCUCCGGGGCACCUUAUAGCCGGGAGUGCAAUGCGGCCAGCCUGGACCGAGGAACGCGCUUCGGCACGGACGCUGGCAUAAUGGUCGUAAACGACCCGUCUUGAAACACGGACCAAGGAGUCUAACAUCUACGCGAGUGUUCGGGUGUCAAACCCGUACGCGCAGUGAAAGCGAACGGAGGUGGGAGCCCCCUCGUGGGGCGCACCAUCGACCGAUCCUGAUGUCUUCGGAUGGAUUUGAGUAAGAGCGUAAAUGUGGGGACCCGAAAGAUGGUGAACUAUGCCUGAAUAGGGCGAAGCCAGAGGAAACUCUGGUGGAGGCUCGCAGCGGUUCUGACGUGCAAAUCGAUCGUCAAAUUGGGUAUAGGGGCGAAAGACUAAUCAAACCAUCUAGUAGCUGG